This 672-nucleotide ribosomal RNA is filed under the name Rhizopus arrhizus. RNAcentral's name for it is "Rhizopus oryzae partial large subunit ribosomal RNA". The record is from RNAcentral. Lineage: Eukaryota; Fungi; Mucoromycota; Mucoromycetes; Mucorales; Rhizopodaceae.
CACCCAAAGUACGGCUGAGGAGAAGGAGCUCGCUCUUAGAAGCUGCCUGGUCGGCCUAAAUAAACCGGAAAACAGACGGAGAAAUUGUUUUGCAGGCCAAGCAAGAAAAUACUUCCUUUGGAGCCGGCCUUCAGGGAGAGAGAGACGCCCUUCUUUUGAUCGUUUGCUUUUCUUUUUAGAUAUUCUUUCAAACAGGCUGGUUGUUUGGGAAUCCGACCUAGAUUGGGAGGUCUCUCCCACCCCUAACUAAAGAUUGGAAACAAACCGAGAACGAAUACCGACCGGGAGGGAAGAAUAAAAAGAUCUUUAAAAAGAUAGUUACACAGUAAGUUUGUUUGUUAGAAAGCAAUUGUUGGCAGACUGACUGGUCUGUCUGCAAUCUAUCUUUCCGUCUGCCUGCACGCGCUUGCUAGGCCUGCCUCCCACCAUUUAUUUUACUUGUGAAAAAAAACGAAAAAAAAGGCGGCCCCCUUGUGGGAGUGAUACUCCCACAAAACAUACCUUGGGAUGGAGGAAGGAACCCAACGCAUGUUUUUUGGCUUUUUUUCCAGGAUUUCUUACUGACUUACUAAUCUAUCAUGAUCGAUCUGUUUGUACAUCCAUCUACUCACGUAGGUGGUUGACUGACUGACUCUGAAUCACCUUGCUAGACACACCAAAAAAAAUACAAAA